RNAcentral lists this ribosomal RNA (279 nucleotides) under uncultured bacterium. RNAcentral's name for it is "partial 16S ribosomal RNA". It matches the Rfam family "Bacterial small subunit ribosomal RNA", at positions 506 to 784 of the family's 1533-position model. The record is from RNAcentral.
UGCCAGCAGCCGCGGUAAUACGAAGGGUGCAAGCGUUAAUCGGAAUUACUGGGCGUAAAGCGCGCGUAGGUGGUUCAGUAAGUUAGGAGUGAAAGCCCCGGGCUUAACCUGGGAAUUGCUUCUAAAACUGCUGAGCUAGAGUACGGUAGAGGGUGGUGGAAUUUCCUGUGUAGCGGUGAAAUGCGUAGAUAUAGGAAGGAACAUCAGUGGCGAAGGCGACCACCUGUACUGAUACUGACACUGAGUUGCUAACGCUUUGGGAGAAAACAGUAUUAGAUC